AUGGCUCACCCAUCCCUGUUACCUGUGUGCCCCACAGCAAACGCGAAACUGGAAGGGGGACCACCUAGCUUCCAAAAGGCCUGCAGCCUCUGCUCUCUGGGUGGUAAGGUGUGGCACGAGGGAGGCAGGCUCCGGCUCGAUGGUGGCACGAGGGAGGCAGGCUCUGGCUCGAUGGUGGCACGAGGGAGGCAGGCUCUGGCUCGAUGGUGGCACGAGGGAGGCAGGCUCCGGCUCGAUGGUGGCACGAGGGAAGCAGGCUCCGGCUCGAUGGUGGCGUUUGCCUUUUCUGAUGGACAGGAUCUCGUCCAUCCCGGCUUCCAAGAUCUCCACGGCACGUGGCUGACUUCCCGAAGGCCAGGAUCUCUCUGGCACCUGAGCCUCGCCCGGGCCCUCAUCACCUCUUGCCCAGGAAGUCAUCCAUGUCAGAGCAGCCUGCCUGCCUCCCUCUCUGCAGCCUCUGCCUUCUCUGGCCCUUCCUCCCGGUCCCUGACCCCGUGAGUGCUCAAGGAUCUUCCAUGGCUCCCGCUGCCCCCCGUUCCCAGGCUUGCUUCAUUUACACAGGUGUCCUGGGCUCCCCCAUUCAUGCUGUGACCCAGGCUGUCCCUCGGAUGCCAGUCCCUUCUCAUUGAAGUCAUUGGGCUGGGCCAGCCGGGUGGCUCGGUGGAUGGAGAGCCAGAUCUGGAGGCGGGAGGCCCUGGGUUCCAAUGUGAUCUCCAACACUUCCUAGCCGGGUGACCCUGGGCAAGUCACUUGACUGCCCACUGCUCGGCUCUUCCUGCUCUCCAUUGGGGUGGGUUCUAAGGCCCAGCUCCAGGGGUGCCCUCCCCCUUCACGUUUUCCUAGCAUGCCUCCCCUCCCCCAAGUGGCUUGAGGGCAGGCCCUUUCCCCCUCCUUCCCCUCUCUGCCCCUUGCCCAGCCCAUCACCGGUUUCUAAUCCAUGUCUGGGCGGCUGGAUUGAGUUCGCGUCCUGACCUAGGAACAACACUUUGCCUCCCGGCCUCAGUUUUCUCACCCACAAAAUGGGCUCGGGGAGAUGAGCUCUGGGGGAGGUGGGUGACAGGCAGAGCCGAGGCAAGCUUGGGUACAAAGCCGUAUUUAUAGAUUUAUUUAUAUAUGUAUAUUUGCCUCCGGAAGAGAGGACGGUCCAGGGGAAAGCUACAGACACGGAGUGAGCGAGCGGGACGCCUGUCCACGGUCAGACUUGGGCACAGUAUAAUAUGAAUCAAAGCUCAGUCG
This 1236-nucleotide long non-coding RNA is filed under the name Monodelphis domestica (gray short-tailed opossum). RNAcentral describes it as "lncRNA (ENSMODG00000050096.1)". The record is from RNAcentral. Lineage: Eukaryota; Metazoa; Chordata; Mammalia; Didelphimorphia; Didelphidae.